This 73-nucleotide transfer RNA is filed under the name Planctomycetales bacterium. RNAcentral's name for it is "tRNA-Arg". It matches the Rfam family "tRNA". From Rfam's summary of the family: Transfer RNA (tRNA) molecules are approximately 80 nucleotides in length. Their secondary structure includes four short double-helical elements and three loops (D, anti-codon, and T loops). The record is from RNAcentral. Lineage: Bacteria; Pseudomonadati; Planctomycetota; Planctomycetia; Planctomycetales.
GCGCCUGUAGCUCAGGGGAUAGAGCAACGGUUUCCUAAACCGUAGGUCGUUGGUUCGAAUCCAAUCAGGCGUA